RNAcentral lists this ribosomal RNA (253 nucleotides) under uncultured bacterium. Its description in RNAcentral is "partial 16S ribosomal RNA". It matches the Rfam family "Bacterial small subunit ribosomal RNA", at positions 524 to 776 of the family's 1533-position model. The record is from RNAcentral.
UACAGAGGGUGCGAGCGUUAAUCGGAAUUACUGGGCGUAAAGCGUGCGUAGGCGGUUAUUUAAGUCGGGUGUGAAAGCCCCGGGCUCAACCUGGGAAUUGCAUUCGAGACUGAAUAGCUAGGGUACGGUAGAGGGAAGUGGAAUUUCCGGUGUAGCGGUGAAAUGCGUAGAUAUCGGAAGGAACAUCAGUGGCGAAAGCGACUUCGUGGAGCAGUACCGACGUUCAGGCACGAAAGCGUGGGGAGCAAACAGG